GCACUACUGAGGAGUCCUAUGAUAGAACGAAAUGGCCGUCCAGUGC
This 46-nucleotide non-coding RNA is filed under the name Schistosoma haematobium. Lineage: Eukaryota; Metazoa; Platyhelminthes; Trematoda; Strigeidida; Schistosomatidae. The record is from RNAcentral.